Molecule: transfer RNA, 73 nt
Filed under: Acholeplasma sp.
Lineage: Bacteria; Bacillati; Mycoplasmatota; Mollicutes; Acholeplasmatales; Acholeplasmataceae
Description: tRNA-Ala
Rfam family: tRNA
About the family: Transfer RNA (tRNA) molecules are approximately 80 nucleotides in length.
Source: RNAcentral
GGGGCCAUAGCUCAGUUGGGAGAGCGCAUGACUGGCAGUCAUGAGGUCAGGGGUUCGAACCCCCUUGGCUCCA